RNAcentral lists this ribosomal RNA (497 nucleotides) under uncultured bacterium. Its description in RNAcentral is "partial 16S ribosomal RNA". It matches the Rfam family "Bacterial small subunit ribosomal RNA", at positions 28 to 507 of the family's 1533-position model. The record is from RNAcentral.
GAUGAACGCUGGCGGCGUGCCUAAUACAUGCAAGUCGAGCGGACGGACGAGAAGCUUGCUUCUCUGAUGUUAGCGGCGGACGGGUGAGUAACACGUGGAUAACCUACCUAUAAGACUGGGAUAACUUCGGGAAACCGUAGCUAAUACCGGAUAACAUUUUGAACCGCAUGGUUCAAAAGUGAAAGACGGUCUUGCUGUCACUUAUAGAUGGAUCCGCGCUGCAUUAGCUAGUUGGUAAGGUAACGGCUUACCAAGGCAACGAUGCAUAGCCGACCUGAGAGGGUGAUCGGCCACACUGGAACUGAGACACGGUCCAGACUCCUACGGGAGGCAGCAGUAGGGAAUCUUCCGCAAUGGGCGAAAGCCUGACGGAGCAACGCCGCGUGAGUGAUGAAGGUCUUCGGAUCGUAAAACUCUGUUAUUAGGGAAGAACAUAUGUGUAAGUAACUGUGCACAUCUUGACGGUACCUAAUCAGAAAGCCACGGCUAACUACGUG